CAGAAAUUGAAAGGUCAAAUCGUGAUAUUAAAAAGCAAAAGAAUAUAGCAAUUUAUAUUAUGUUCAACUACGAUUUAUGAAUUAUUUAUUGAACUACUAUCUAUAAAUAUAAGUUUCAUUCUGUACGAGUCGUAUAAUACGAAGUGGAUUAUAGCGAAAAGAACUGGAGCAGUUGCAAGACCUAACUUCAAAUCUGCUGCGGUAGGUUUGCCCAUUGUUGACAAAGACGACACGAAAUCCAAAAGAUCGUCGACUAAUUGAAAUGCUAAACCGAUGUUCCUGCCGUAUUGGAAGGCUAAUUCGACCAACUGUUCAUCACCACCAGCUAGCAUAGUCACCUACGUUCAAAAUAUAUUUAUUAAUGAUA
Molecule: long non-coding RNA, 367 nt
Organism: Bombus huntii
Lineage: Eukaryota; Metazoa; Arthropoda; Insecta; Hymenoptera; Apidae
Exons: 2
Source: RefSeq, a predicted model, not a curated record